UAGGGAAUCUUCGGCAAUGGGGGCAACCCUGACCGAGCAACGCCGCGUGAGUGAAGAAGGUUUUCGGAUCGUAAAGCUCUGUUGUAAGAGAAGAACGAGUGUGAGAGUGGAAAGUUCACACUGUGACGGUAACUUACCAGAAAGGGACGGCUAACUACGUGCCAGCAGCCGCGGUAAUACGUAGGUCCCGAGCGUUAUCCGGAUUUAUUGGGCGUAAAGCGAGCGCAGGCGGUUAGAUAAGUCUGAAGUUAAAGGCUGUGGCUUAACCAUAGUACGCUUUGGAAACUGUUUAACUUGAGUGCAGAAGGGGAGAGUGGAAUUCCAUGUGUAGCGGUGAAAUGCGUAGAUAUAUGGAGGAACACCGGUGGCGAAAGCGGCUCUCUGGUCUGUAACUGACGCUGAGGCUCGAAAGCGUGGGGAGCGAACAGGAUUAGAUACCCUGGUAGUCCACGCCGUAAACGAUGAGUGCUAGGUGUUAGGUCCUUUCCGGGACUUAGUGCCGCAGCUAACGCAUUAAGUACUCCGCCUGGGGAGUACGACCGCAAGGUUG
Molecule: ribosomal RNA, 550 nt
Filed under: uncultured bacterium
Lineage: Bacteria
Description: bacterial SSU rRNA
Rfam family: Bacterial small subunit ribosomal RNA
Source: RNAcentral